Long non-coding RNA from Homo sapiens (human), 1231 nucleotides. RefSeq lists it as uncharacterized. The record is from RefSeq and is a predicted model, not a curated record. Lineage: Eukaryota; Metazoa; Chordata; Mammalia; Primates; Hominidae. The transcript is spliced from 11 exons.
GAGCAACGCAGAAGACGGGUGAUUUCUGCAUUUCCAACUGAGGAGAGAAAGAGAAGCAGAGAGGUCACGACGCAGAACUUGAUUCUGGAGCCAGAGCUGGGGCAUCUUUUCCUGGGGUCUCCAGGUUGUGAUCAUGGACAGAGGCUGGCAAGGGGAAGGAGCCACCAACUGGGAACAACCCAUAGGCCCAACAGCUCCAGAACGGGCAUCCACACCACAGAAUUCAUGCUGCAACGAGAAUGAAUAAGACGAGUGCUACGCGCAACAACACUGGUGACUGUCGCAAACACCAUGUUGCAGGAAGGACAUUACGGAUAAGAGAGUAAACAUGAUUAGGAGAUUGAAGCUCAGAGACUUGUUGGAGCUCACAGCGGCACUGGGACAUUUGGACCAAGAGCUUUUCUCCCUUCCGAGUCAGUGCAUGAUGCCAGAGAACAUCCCUGGGGUUCCCAUGGUGCUGUUAUGGCUGUCCUGUUUCUUACCCUAGAUGCUUUCAGGAAAGACUAAGAUCCUUUUCCUGGAACUGGAGCAACCUCUCUCACAUGGAGGACACCUGGACAUCUCUUUCUCUCCACCUUGUCUCUGGAUCCCUUUACAUGCUGGCUCAGGAAUCCAGAGUGAGAAUUAAGAGUGCCUACCUCAUCCUCAUGGGGGAGUUGUAAAGACCAAUGAAAAUGAUCUAUAUCUAACUUAUCAAAUGAUCUGGAACUUGAAAAGAAAAGCUGAUGGUUUGCCAAAAGAAAAUGAACUCCAAACUCUUGGGGUCUGAACUGGGUUCAAGCAUCAGAUCCAGGGGAGCCCAGGGGGAUGCUGCUUAGUCAGGGGCCUCAAAUGUUCUCUGCACAAGCCAGGACUGCUGUAACCAAGUACCAUGAAGUGCAUGGCUUAAAACAACAGCAAUGCUUUCUCUCACAGUUCUAGAGGUAGAAGCAUGAAGCCAGCUAUUGACAGGAGCAUGCUCCCACUGAAGAUAGCAAGGAGGGUGUUCAGAAAGAGGAGAGAGAGGAAGCUAAAGAGAAAAGUAAAUGAAACCAGAAUGGCCUUCUCCCCAGGACCUCCAUCCUGAGCCUUGCAGCGAGAGUGAAGAAGCAUCUGAGCUGUCCUCCAGGGACAAGCAAGGAAAAGGAUCCCCCAUUUUGGGGAGAAUCACGUGGCAAAACAGGAAAACCAGACCAGCAGAGAGGAGAGAGACCAGCAAUCAGACCCUCCCAGAGACAAUCAUUGUUAACAU